CUUGGCUGUUCCUGCUGCUACUGGAGCUGGGGUGGAGGUUUGAUGGUCACCAUUGCUGGAGCCUGUUCUGAGCUUCCCCAGGAUCUUCCAUCAGACCCGUGGGCAGCUGGAGCGCAGCUGAGAAGUGAUGGUCCCCAGCCCUGGUGGUCCUGCCCGAAGCAGAGGGUUGAGCUGGGUCACCUCUCGAGAGCCUUCUCAGCCUGAGUGUCUUUCAACACUGAGUGUCAGAACAGAACUGGCAGAGCUGAGCCAGGUCCUGUCCCAACCUCUUGCCUGCGCCAACAAGGAGCAAGAUACCUUCCUGUGUAGAGUAAUAAAUGUUCUAAAAACUGCUGUCCUCUCUUCUACUCUGAUUAUUCUCA
Passer montanus (Eurasian tree sparrow) is the source of this 362-nucleotide long non-coding RNA. RefSeq lists it as uncharacterized. The record is from RefSeq and is a predicted model, not a curated record. The transcript is spliced from 3 exons. NCBI's taxonomy places the organism in Eukaryota, Metazoa, Chordata, Aves, Passeriformes, Passeridae.